UCUUCUUACAAAUCUUUGCUUUACAAAUUUUUGCUUCCAAACUUUGUAUUUGGAAAACAAAAACAAAACAAAACAGAGGAAGAUCUAGGCUAACUGUCAGUUGAGAAAUCACAAAGCAAUUUUUUGGAGAUAGGUCACAAUUGAUUUUUGGCAUGCAGGUUAGAAGUUCAAAGAGUUCAAGGAAUCGCUGAACUGCUAGUCUGGAUUCCUAUCCAUCUAGUUAGGGGAACACUUUUCUCCAUGCUUGCAGCAGAAGCAAGAGGAGGGAGGGAAAUGUUUAAACAAAAAAUAAACCGAAGAAAGAAUAUCAGCAAAAUGUUCUCACUAAAUCCUUGGGGCCUGCUAAUUUACUGAGGCUGAUCUCAACUGACAAUCCUCCUGCCUCAGCCUCCCAAGUGGCUGAGAUUACAGGACAAGAUCUCUCUAAAUAUCCCAGACUGAGGGGCUGGGGAUGUGGCUCAAGCGGUAGCGCGAUCGCCUGGCAUGCGUGCGGCCCGGGUUCCAUCCUCAGCACCACAUACAAAGAUGUUGUGUCCGCUGAAAACUAAAAAAAUAAAUAUUAAAAAUUC
Molecule: long non-coding RNA, 569 nt
Organism: Marmota monax (woodchuck)
Lineage: Eukaryota; Metazoa; Chordata; Mammalia; Rodentia; Sciuridae
Exons: 3
Source: RefSeq, a predicted model, not a curated record